This 342-nucleotide unclassified non-coding RNA is filed under the name Hevea brasiliensis (rubber tree). The record is from RNAcentral. Lineage: Eukaryota; Viridiplantae; Streptophyta; Magnoliopsida; Malpighiales; Euphorbiaceae.
GAGCAUGACGCACAUGACAAGGAACAGGUGAGAUGCAGGAUCAGCCAACGCCGGUCGAACUGAUCAAUGCGGUGGCGGAAUUUCUCCGUGCCGAUGUCGCGCCGCAAUUGUCCGGUCACGCGGCAUUCAAGCUGCGGGUCGGGCUCAACGCGCUCGAUCUGGUCGCGCGUCAGCUCACCCUUGAGGCAUCCGGCGAUGCCGCCGAGCUUGAACGGCUGGCAAAGCUGCUCCGCGCCUCCGGCUCGCUGGAAGACCUCAACCGGCUGCUGUCGGCGCGCANNGGGCUUCCAGACGCCGGGGCUGACCGGACACGUCUGGCAGACCACGAUGGACAAGCUGGCC